RNAcentral lists this long non-coding RNA (248 nucleotides) under Lathyrus oleraceus (garden pea). RNAcentral's name for it is "Pisum sativum (pea) long non-coding RNA (PSAT_LNC005078)". The record is from RNAcentral. Lineage: Eukaryota; Viridiplantae; Streptophyta; Magnoliopsida; Fabales; Fabaceae.
UCAACUUCGUUCCAUUUGUUUCUCAUUUGAAACCUUCACAACUCUUAUUUCACAACUCAAUUUUUGUUUUUCACUAUUUUUCUUCCAAGAAAGCAUUCAUUUUUCAUUUUCUCUAUUUUUUUCUUUUCUUUUCACAUCGUAUUCACAAAACAGGUGUUUCUCUUUUCUAAUUUUUUUUUCAAUGCUUGCUCGGUUUUUCAAGAGUUGUGGCACUUACCGAUUCUCAUUUUCGUUCUCCCCAACUUAUC